This is a long non-coding RNA of Syngnathus acus (greater pipefish), 826 nucleotides long. RefSeq lists it as uncharacterized. Lineage: Eukaryota; Metazoa; Chordata; Actinopteri; Syngnathiformes; Syngnathidae. The transcript has 4 exons. The record is from RefSeq and is a predicted model, not a curated record.
UUUUCUGCGGUAAUGUUGGAGAUUUUCAAUAAAUACAAAUUCAUACCGUUUUAGGGUUCUCAGGUGAAAAGAGGCAAUGCAUGAUGGGCAUGUUUUGACUUCAUUUAUUAUGGUUUAUUAUGGUUGCUGCCAUCACCACUAGAUGGCGACUCUAAGAAAAAGGAGGUGAACAAAGGCGUGGAGGCAGUAGAAAAAGAAGCAAAGCAUGAUGUUCUACGAAUGCUGUCUCAUCCACCGAAUAUGUUGCUCACACUUUUGUAGCAAAUUAGCCUCUGACUGAAGAUGGUGUGCGCGGUAAAGACUUCGGCCCCGGCGACUUGUACAACUCAUACUUACCUGGCAGGGGAGAUACCGUGAUCAAGAAGGUGGUUCACCCAGGAUGGCGACUCUAAGAAAAAGGAGGUGAACAAAGGCGUGGAGGCAGUAGAAAAAGAAGCAAAGCAUGAUGUUCUACGAAUGCUGUCUCAUCCACCGAAUAUGUGUGCUCACACUUUUGUAGCAAAUUAGCCUCUGACUGAAGAUGGUGUGCGCGGUAAAGACUUCGGCCCCGGCGACUUGUACAACUCAUACUUACCUGGCAGGGGAGAUACCGUGAUCAAGAAGGUGGUUCACCCAGGGUGAGGCUCAGCCAUUGCACUCCGGUUGUGUUGACCCCUGCGAAUUCCCCAAAUGUGGGAAUCUCGACUGCAUAAUUUCUGGUAGUGGGGGACUGCGUUCGCGCUCUCCCCUGAUCAAAAUGUGAAUGGUAACCAAAUAAUGAUCAACAAUUGCGUUUCAGCCAAAAUAUAAAACGCACCACUUGAUGGCCAUUCUAUGGAAAUGUUUA